This is a long non-coding RNA of Fundulus heteroclitus (mummichog), 1136 nucleotides long. RefSeq lists it as uncharacterized. NCBI's taxonomy places the organism in Eukaryota, Metazoa, Chordata, Actinopteri, Cyprinodontiformes, Fundulidae. The record is from RefSeq and is a predicted model, not a curated record. The transcript has 3 exons.
AGAAAUAAGGUUUGUUUAAUUGCACCCUUGAAAGGGCUGUUUAGUUGGAUUGCAUGUAGGAAUACAAAUUAUUCCACACAAAAAAUUAUCAUAAGCCAUAAUGAGGUUUAAAAUGUUUAUUACUCAGACAGUAGUGUGACUAAUUUGUUCCCCAAACACUGCUGCUGCAGGCGGCUGCUGCUGGAGGCGAUGACUGCUUGAGCUGGCUGAUGUUGGCGAAGGAUGGUGAUGGCGGCUGCUGCUUGUGACGGCUGCUGAUAAUGUUGGCCACUGCUGGCGCUGGCAGCUGGUGGCGGCUGGUGCUGGCCAUGGCUGCUGGUGGCGACUGCUGACUGCUGGAAUAAGAGGAGACUGGAGGCUGUGGAGACUGCGGACGGUGUGCCGGGAAUGGAGUGGCCGAGUACAUCCAUGGCAACCAGUAAGGUGUUCGUUAGUGGCCUAGAUGGUAUGACCUUAGGUGAGGAGGUCUGCUGUGUGGAAAUCGCCUUCUUGGUCUGACUCUUGCUGCCAAGGUACCCCUUAUUACGGCUGUUUGCCUUCCUCUCAUCUCCGAUGCACUUUGAGUGAAUCCUUAACCUCAGCCUGAUAUAUGUUGAAAGGUUUAUUUUUUUCAGCUCAUGGCAUGAGGGAAGGUUGCUGUCCAGACUCAUGGCCUCUCUUUCCAGCUGUUCCACUACGUUGGAGGAUUCCAUAAGGGAAUCACUCGUCUGGGAACGGAAGAGGUGCUCCACGUGCUGCAGGAGAGUGAACAGCUCAUCGCAUGGCCGUGCACAUUGGCAUUCCUCACAGAGCGAGAAGCUGAUGACCCUCUUCGCUAUGUAUCCUGCCAGGUGGUAGAGGACACAAGACUCGGUCUUUGUGAGGUCAGGUGGGAGCUCCACUCUCACAACCUCAGAAGCACUGCAGUUGCUGUUCUUGUUGUCCAAGAAGUCUGCCAAGUGGUCUGAUGCAUCAUCCAGAUCUUGCUGGACCAGCAGUAUCGUUGUUGUGGCCAUCACAGGUUUCAGUGGAGCGCCCCCCCCCCAAAAUAAAAUGGUUACGAUACCUGUUCUUAACGCCUGUUUACACAUUUGUUGUUCUUGUUCACACAUACUGUACGUAUGUUUGUUGAUAUUAUUCAUGCUUGUUCCCAUUUU